AAUUGAUUUUCCUGAAAAAAAAAGAAAAAAGUUACAUUUCAAGGCUUCGGUCACUUUUGACCGCAAAGGAGGCAAGUGUGACUCCUAAACGAAGAGGGCCAGAAGGUUUAAAGGAAAAGGAGAUGGAUUUGUAAGUAAUAUGUAAUUAAUGUCAAAAACAUCCAAAUGUGUUUGUUUUUUUUACUCUGAAAGAACAUUUUGGCUGUUGCAUUCCUUGACUGUUGUCAGUUGGCCUUUACAUUUCUCAUGAUAAACUAACUUACAGUUUACUACAUCUGACUCUUUGAUAGAUGUUAGAAAUUAAUUAAAAGGUAUAUUGUUGAGAUCAAUACUUUGUUCUUCAAUUAUUUGUAUCUUUUAUUAAAUCAGCAGUGGAGAUCAACAUCAGGCAGGUCGUGGAUAUUGAAAGGGACUUCCACAAUCUUUGAUUAUCCAUGCUUCUUGAAUAUGCCAAGUGUGGUAGGUCUCAUUGCAGUUCAGUCUUUAAUUUUCUUCCAUUACUUAAAGGGAUAGUUCAACCAAAAAUGGAAAUUCUGUCAUUUACUCCCCUUCAUGUUGUUUCAAACCUGUACGAGUUUUUCUUCUGUUGAAAACAAAAGAAGAUAUUCCUAAGAAUGUUGGUAAUCAGACAGUUGACGGUUGUAACGGGGCUGACGAGAUAGUGAGACGUACGGAUCCAUAAGCAAGCUUUAUUGACAAGAGACGUGGUAAUAACAGGCAGGGUCGAUCAAUGGCAGACAAGUAUAUAAUAGGCAAUGCACAGAGUUAUCAAAAACAGGCAUGAGUCAAACAACAGCGAACAGUAUCAAAAGGGGCUAGACAAGAGAGGUAAUUCAAAACGUGAGCAAGAGUCCAGGCAGGGGAAAACACAAUCCAAAACAGGCAAGACAAGGGAAACUAACAGGGCUCUGUAGGGCAGCGAUAAUGCAUACAAUACUUGGCCCUGAUGGAAGGAAAGUCCAGGGUUUAAAUAAGGCAUGUGAUCAGUGUGUGCGUAGGAUCAGGUGUGCGUGUGAUUAGUGCAAUGAGUGAUUGGUGACAGCUGUGAUCAGUAAUGGAUGAUGGGAAUUGGAGUCCAUUGUGAUGUGUGGUGUGAAAGUCAAUAUGAUGGCAGGGCGAACUCUUGUGGCAGUCAGACAGAAGAGCAGGCCCAGAACUCGUAACAACGAAGAAAGAAACUCAUACAUGUUUGGAACAAUAUGAGAGGGGAUGGAAGACCAAGCAGAUGAUGAAAAGUGCUACCCAAUGCUGGUUGUUCUGGCAUAUCUUCUGCCACCGUUGCCUGGAAGUCGCUGCAGUGUUAAAUGGGAAAUUGAUUUCCUUUAUUAUUCUUUUAAUUAUUCUUUUAAUGAUGUCUUGAUGCUUUCUAAACUCCUGAAGUGUAUUUGUUUAUGAGAUUAAAUUGAUCUUAUUUUAUGAGAAAUGUUAUCCUCUGGUCUUGUUUCUGUUAACCGUUAAGUGUAAUUGAUGUUGGCAACACUUUUUAAUGAAUACUGUGGUUAAUAGCUAGUGCAUUACAAAUGCUUUUGUAUUAUGAAGAAAAAUUACAAACAUACUAUAGAUUUUUUAAAUUAACAGUCAUUGACCAAUUUAAAAUGUUUAUUUGUCUGAUUUGGAAAGUUUUAUCUUGUAUCUGACAUUUUAUGUUAUAAGUUGAUCUUAUGUUAUGAGAAAUGUUAUCUGAUAGUCUUGACUGUGUAUGAUUUUCAAUCAUCCAAGGUGUAGUUGAUGUUGGUAACACUUUUUAAUGUAUACUGUAUUGUAGCUAAUAGUUGUAGUGCAUUACAAGGCAUUUGUGUCAUCUAAUCAUAUAAACUAAGUUUAUGAAAUUUAGAUUUAGAACAUUUUGUUGUGCCUCUGUGCAUGCCUUGUUGUCUACCCUGACAAUAUUUGACAAAUUAAAUUGCUAACAUUUUUUACAUCUGUGUUUUAUUUCAAUUUUGUAGAAUUACAAAUUGAUGGUAAUGCUUAUUUUUGUCAUAACACAUUAAUUAGCAGUUUCUGAUCAUUUUCAGUUACACAAUGUUUAAAUGACACGUGUGUUCAAUUACAUUACACAGUAGAUGUGUGAUCCAUCUUAACACACAAAUUGUGUUAAAUCUGACACCACGUUGUCCCUGAGCACACUCACCACGUGUUAAAAUUCUGCACAAUGUGUCAUUUUUUAACACAUCUCUUUUUGCAGUGUACGCAGGAAGCCAUUACUUACACAAGGCAGCACACUUGGAGUAUGCUAAAAGAUCAUGUGAAUAAACCAAAUGAGUUUUGGAAUAACAUGUGGUCUGAUGAAAACAAAGUUGAAUUAUUUGGUCAUAAUUUGCACGGGUACGUGUGACAAGAAAAAAACCCUGCCUAUGAGGAGAAGAAUAUCAUUCCCACAGUCAAACACGGAGGCUCACUGAUGUUUUGGGGGUGUUUGUCUGCAUCAGGCGCUGGAGCUCUGCAUUACGUGGAAGGGAAAAUGAAUGCAGGCCAAUAUCAACAGAUUUUAAAGCAAAGCCUCCUACCAUCAGUCAAAAAGCUAAAAAUGAAGAGGCAGUGGAUCCUUCAACAAGACAAUGAUCCAAAACACAAAGCAAAGUCAACUCCGUGAAAGUUUUGCCAUGGCUUUCCCAGUCUCCAGACUUGAAUAUAAUAGAAAAGAGGUUGGAGGAGGUUAUAAAGGCAAAGGGAGAACAUACAAAUAUUACAUUAAAUAUUUUGUUGAUGACAGUACAUUUCUUUGUUUUACUCUUUUUGUCAUUUUAAAGUAAAGGGAUGCAAACUUUUGCACACAACUGUAGGCUAUUGUAAAUUCAAUUGUCCAAUCAUUUUCACCCCUAGAAGUUUCUCUCAGUGCCGUCCAAGAGGUCCCUGCCACUGGCAUCAAGGUCCCAAAGAUCAAUGCCACAGCUGCAUCAGAGGCUUCAGUCAUGGCCACAGAGCUCCUUUCUCCACUGUCUUGGGUCCAGAUAUGCUGUCAGGGCUGCUCAAAAAAUACCAGCUGCCACAAUGUUUCCUGCCAGUCUGCCACUAAUGCUCCAAAACCUCUGAUGCCCCAGAAAGGUUCCUGGACUUGAAAGUCUAAGGAUGGCCGUUUCGCUGCUCCCAGAUGUCCUUCAAACUGCCGCUUCAAAGGAUCCUGUCACAGGCAGUACUGGGGAAAGUUACUUUUAAAAGUAAUGCAUUACAAUAUUGUGUUACUCCCUAAAAAAGUAACUAAUUACGUUACUUAGUUACUUUUUAUGGAAAGUAAUGUUACGUUACUUUUGCGUUACAUUUUAAAUAUGAGCAGGGCUUGAUUGUUUUUAAUAUAAGAAGUUAUAUUUAUAGCAAAUGUAUAAGCCAUUUCACACCAAAAAGUGUAAUGAAUAAACCUCAGGCUGAAGGAAAAGUAAAUUCACGUCUGUACAGUAGAAUGCAGGAGAAGAAGGUUCAACACUCUUCAGCAAUAAAAAAAACAAUGAAGCACAAUUGUUAGUUUAUCUAAAGUCA
This is a long non-coding RNA of Onychostoma macrolepis, 3474 nucleotides long. RefSeq lists it as uncharacterized. The record is from RefSeq and is a predicted model, not a curated record. Lineage: Eukaryota; Metazoa; Chordata; Actinopteri; Cypriniformes; Cyprinidae. The transcript has 4 exons.